Molecule: ribosomal RNA, 549 nt
Filed under: Streptomyces sp. 303D09
Lineage: Bacteria; Bacillati; Actinomycetota; Actinomycetes; Kitasatosporales; Streptomycetaceae
Description: bacterial SSU rRNA
Rfam family: Bacterial small subunit ribosomal RNA
Source: RNAcentral
UAGUGGCGAACGGGUGAGUAACACGUGGGCAAUCUGCCCUUCACUCUGGGACAAGCCCUGGAAACGGGGUCUAAUACCGGAUAACACUUUCCUCUGCAUGGGGGAGGGUUGAAAGCUCCGGCGGUGAAGGAUGAGCCCGCGGCCUAUCAGCUUGUUGGUGGGGUGAUGGCCUACCAAGGCGACGACGGGUAGCCGGCCUGAGAGGGCGACCGGCCACACUGGGACUGAGACACGGCCCAGACUCCUACGGGAGGCAGCAGUGGGGAAUAUUGCACAAUGGGCGGAAGCCUGAUGCAGCGACGCCGCGUGAGGGAUGACGGCCUUCGGGUUGUAAACCUCUUUCAGCAGGGAAGAAGCGUGAGUGACGGUACCUGCAGAAGAAGCGCCGGCUAACUACGUGCCAGCAGCCGCGGUAAUACGUAGGGCGCAAGCGUUGUCCGGAAUUAUUGGGCGUAAAGAGCUCGUAGGCGGCUUGUCGCGUCGGAUGUGAAAGCCCGGGGCUCAACCCCGGGUCUGCAUUCGAUACGGGCAGGCUGGAGUGUGGUAGGC